AACGAACGCUGGCGGCAUGCCUAACACAUGCGAGUCGAACGAGACCUUCGGGUCUAGUGGCGCACGGGUGCGUAACGCGUGGGAAUCUACCCUUGGGUUCGGAAUAACAGUUAGAAAUGACUGCUAAUACCGGAUGAUGACGUAAGUCCAAAGAUUUAUCGCCCAAGGAUGAGCCCGCGUAAGAUUAGCUCGUUGGUGGGGUAAUGGCCUACCAAGGCGACGAUCUUUAGCUGGUCUGAGAGGAUGAUCAGCCACACUGGGACUGAGACACGGCCCAGACUCCUACGGGAGGCAGCAGUGGGGAAUAUUGGACAAUGGGCGAAAGCCUGAUCCAGUAAUGCCGCGUGAGUGAUGAAGGCCUUAGGGUUGUAAAGCUCUUUUACCAGGGAUGAUAAUGACAGUACCUGGAGAAUAAGCUCCGGCUAACUCCGUGCCAGCAGCCGCCGUAA
RNAcentral lists this ribosomal RNA (449 nucleotides) under uncultured bacterium. RNAcentral describes it as "partial 16S ribosomal RNA". It matches the Rfam family "Bacterial small subunit ribosomal RNA", at positions 29 to 523 of the family's 1533-position model. The record is from RNAcentral.